This 142-nucleotide ribosomal RNA is filed under the name uncultured eukaryote. RNAcentral describes it as "partial 18S ribosomal RNA". It matches the Rfam family "Eukaryotic small subunit ribosomal RNA", at positions 1299 to 1458 of the family's 1831-position model. The record is from RNAcentral.
UGGUGGAGUGAUUUGUCUGCUUAAUUGCGAUAACGAACGAGACCUUAACCUGCUAACUAGUUACGCGAACCUUUGCGUUCGUGGCCAACUUCUUAGAGGGACUUUUGCGUGUUUUAACCAAAGGAAGUUUGAGGCAAUAACA